Molecule: non-coding RNA, 226 nt
Organism: Cucumis melo (muskmelon)
Lineage: Eukaryota; Viridiplantae; Streptophyta; Magnoliopsida; Cucurbitales; Cucurbitaceae
Source: Rfam
ACACCGGCGGUCUCUAAUUCGCUUGGUGCAGGUCGGGAACCGCUUCGCUCAGCCUACGGUUUACGUUUUGUCGUUGGCCGGUCCUUCUUCAUUUUCCUUUUUUGUUCUUCUCUGCUUUUGUUUUUUGCUUAAUUUCUUUGCCGCUGUGCGGUGUUAUCUUGUUGCGAAAAUGUGUGGGCGAAUUGGAUCCCGCCUUGCAUCAACUGAAUCGGAAACCGUGGUGAAG